UACGGAGGGUGCGAGCGUUAUCCGGAUUUAUUGGGUUUAAAGGGUGUGCAGGCGGGUAGGUAAGUCGAUUGUGAAAUUCCCGAGCUUAACUCGAGAAUUGCAUUCGAUACUGCCUAUCUUGAAUACUGCGGAGGUGAGUAGAAUAUGUCAUGUAGGGUGAAAUGCUCAGAUAUGACAGAGAAUUUCGAUUGCGAAGGCGGCUCACUAUACAGUUAUUGACGCUCAGGCACGAAAGCGUGGGGAUCAAACA
RNAcentral lists this ribosomal RNA (250 nucleotides) under uncultured Filobacterium sp. RNAcentral describes it as "partial 16S ribosomal RNA". It matches the Rfam family "Bacterial small subunit ribosomal RNA", at positions 524 to 774 of the family's 1533-position model. Lineage: Bacteria; Pseudomonadati; Bacteroidota; Sphingobacteriia; Sphingobacteriales; Filobacteriaceae. The record is from RNAcentral.